GACAAAAGGUCAGACUUGAUGUUAUUCAGACUAAAGGGAACUUAUUAAAGAGGAACCAGAGAGUUACUUUGCCACCAUUUUAAAAUGACACCUCUGUCAGAGACCUCUCUUCAAGCAACAUUGGAGAGCCCACUCUGUCAUCCUAAUCGCAAUAAUUUCUGUCCCUCUAAGUAUCCUUAAACAGUUUUCUAGGAUUAUUUGUGCAGUUCCAGGGUGAAAAAUAGGAAUAAAAGUAUCAAAACUCUUUUGAAUUCUCCUUAUGUUAAGAUACUUCUAAACGCCGUGAGUAAGGAAUCUUCUUUUAUUUCAUAUAUUGGCAAUAUAAAAGAGGAGGCUGAGAAGAACACUAUCUUGGGACUUACAUACUUUUGUCACUUUAUGUCACAACAUUAAAUUUAUCUGAAUGAGGGGUGUUACGUGUUCAUGUCUGCCUAAAACAAAUGGGAAAAGGCAUGGAAGGAAGCAAAUUCUAAAGCAUUAGACAUUAUUAUAGCUAAUGAGUUCACUCUAUUAAACUAGGAAAUAUAAUCUAUUACAUUAGAAAAGAUAAACACAGCUGCCUUAUUUAAAAAAAAAAAAAAGAUUCUUUUACUUCACAUUAAUCAGUUAUAAAACUGAGCCAUGUUGCUUAAAGGUAGAUAGAAAUGUUUACUCCCCCUCAGAGUUUCCCUGAAGAAUUUCCUCCAAUGUUUUUGGCAGAGGAGAUAUAUAAACUCACAGUGGCAUGUAACAUGCUCUGGCAUAGUGAAUUCCAUGCUGUUGCAAUUCCUUGUGAAUGGCAUGAGGAAAUUUCAAUACACUGGCUCUGUUGUUAAGGCAGGAGAUACCUUUAGUUGCUGAAAACACAGCCCUGCAGUUUUACCCUCUCACUGAAGCAGUGUGUACAGCUGUUUUCUGGGCAGGGUGCUGUGUGAUGCUAUUCAUUGUAUGCAACAGUCUGUUAAAGGCCUACAGUGUUAGCAAUUCCUGACUUACAAUGUCUCCUUCUGUCUUUCCAUAUCAGGGAGCAAAGGGAAACACAGAAAGACAGGUCCCCUCUACUUUAACUCUUUUAACUCAAACAAACUGAAAGGGGUUACAUAAUCAUAUAGUCACCUUUAUUUCCAUCUCACAGAAAGGAAAGACAUCUGUUUCCUAGGGACUGUCUUUAUCCCCAGAUAAAAAAACUUUAAAAAAACCCAACAAAAACCAAUAAACAAAACCCCUACAAAACCCAAAAACAACACAAAACAAAAUAAACAAACCCCCUACCUUUGUUGCUGAGUACAUAACAGAGUGAAAGGCAGAACAAAAGCAUAAGGAAUGGAGCAUUGCUCAAGGUUAGAUUUUGUUGUCCUUCAUUUAAAGUCUGAAAGAAUAAACUCAGAAUUUGUCUGUGGGAUAAAAAAAUGCCAAGUAAAAAUUCUAAACUAACUACUACCUAUGCCAUUUUCCUUAUGGCUUGAUGUGACAUUACAUUGAAAAGAGGUACUGCUUUGAAUUCAUAUAAAGGAUACACAAAAAUAUUUUUCAUUUAAUUGUCUAUCAGCUUUUGCUUCAUUCUAUAUUUCAUAAUUUAUUUUCCUCUUAAGAAUAUUAUUUUCUUCGUAAGGAAGGCAAUUCAUUCUGUACCUGGACAAAUAAAAUUGCAUGUGUAUGUAUGUACUUGAGAUUUUAUAUUGCUAAAUGAGCCGUUGCACACUUUUCAAACAACUCAAUUAACAUAUUUUCUUUAUUAAAUUUACUUUUCUAAAAAUAAUUUUGCUUUAUAAAUCUGCCACCUGUACACAACUUGUUUAUGGUGAGGGAUUUCUACUUAAGCAAAAGGUGACUCUAAUAUUUCAUCCCUCAGUUUCAUCUCUCUCCUUGAUAAUUUUGGAUGAAAGAGCUAAUAAAAUCUCUCUACUCUUCAUUA
Non-coding RNA from Cyanistes caeruleus (blue tit), 1894 nucleotides. NCBI's taxonomy places the organism in Eukaryota, Metazoa, Chordata, Aves, Passeriformes, Paridae. The record is from RefSeq and is a predicted model, not a curated record.